This 450-nucleotide ribosomal RNA is filed under the name uncultured bacterium. RNAcentral describes it as "bacterial SSU rRNA". It matches the Rfam family "Bacterial small subunit ribosomal RNA", at positions 354 to 796 of the family's 1533-position model. The record is from RNAcentral.
GUGGGGAAUUUUGGACAAUGGGCGAAAGCCUGAUCCAGCCAUGCCGCGUGCAGGAUGAAGGCCUUCGGGUUGUAAACUGCUUUUGUACGGAACGAAAAGACUCCUUCUAAUAAAGGGGGUCCAUGACGGUACCGUAAGAAUAAGCACCGGCUAACUACGUGCCAGCAGCCGCGGUAAUACGUAGGGUGCAAGCGUUAAUCGGAAUUACUGGGCGUAAAGCGUGCGCAGGCGGUUAUAUAAGACAGAUGUGAAAUCCCCGGGCUCAACCUGGGAACUGCAUUUGUGACUGUAUAGCUAGAGUACGGUAGAGGGGGAUGGAAUUCCGCGUGUAGCAGUGAAAUGCGUAGAUAUGCGGAGGAACACCGAUGGCGAAGGCAAUCCCCUGGACCUGUACUGACGCUCAUGCGCGAAAGCGUGGGGAGCAAACAGGAUUAGAUACCCGGGUAGUCC